GGACAUAAAGAUGACCUUGACACAGGCACUGACUCUUUCUUCUUUGUAGUAAGUGCUACAUGUUGGGGUAAUUUUGGUGUUC
This 82-nucleotide microRNA precursor is filed under the name Oryzias latipes (Japanese medaka). RNAcentral describes it as "microRNA ola-mir-430b precursor (ola-mir-430b-2)". Its record names the gene ola-mir-430b-2. The stretch from base 8 to 76 matches the Rfam family "miR-430 microRNA precursor family". Lineage: Eukaryota; Metazoa; Chordata; Actinopteri; Beloniformes; Adrianichthyidae. The record is from miRBase by way of RNAcentral.